Molecule: ribosomal RNA, 515 nt
Filed under: uncultured bacterium
Lineage: Bacteria
Description: partial 16S ribosomal RNA
Rfam family: Bacterial small subunit ribosomal RNA
Source: RNAcentral
GAUGAACGCUGGCGGCGUGCCUAUUACAUGCAAGUCGAGCGAAUGGAUUAAGAGCUUGCUCUUAUGAAGUUAGCGGCGGACGGGUGAGUAACACGUGGGUAACCUGCCCAUAAGACUGGGAUAACUCCGGGAAACCGGGGCUGAUACCGGAUAACAUUUUGAACCGCAUGGUUCGAAACUGAAAGGCGGCUUCGGCUGUCACUUAUGGAUGGACCCGCGUCGCAUUAGCUAGUUGGUGAGGUAACGGCUCACCAAGGCAACGAUGCGUAGCCGACCUGAGAGGGUGAUCGGCUACACUGGGACUGAGACACGGCCCAGACUCCUACGGGAGGCAGCAGUAGGGAAUCUUCCGCAAUGGACGAAAGUCUGACGGAGCAACGCCGCGUGAGUGAUGAAGGCUUUCGGGUCGUAAAACUCUGUUGUUAGGGAAGAACAAGUGCUAGUUCAAUAAGCUGGCACCUUGACGGUACCUAACCAGAAAGCCACGGCUAACUACGUGCCAGCCGCCGCGGUAA